GCAUUGAUGUGAAAGGGUCAGCCCAGCCCCUGCCACUCAGAACUUCAGGCUCAUGCAAUUUGUGCAUUAGCUCCCUUGGCUGUUGGCCCAGGAAUCUGGAGAUUAAAAUAAAAAUCCAAAGGUAAACAGUGCUUCCACAAUUGAUAUGGCUGGCCUCUUCCAAGCGCACUGCCACUGGAACAACAUGGCUUCCUGUGGGGGGGUCCUGCGCUGAGCAGGAGAGAGGGAGGGUGAGGAGACUAAGAACAGAAGGGCACGUAAGCCAGGCCUUGCAUAACCUCUUUAGGAGCAGACACAGCGAGGGGGGAAUGUUUAUUGAUCUUAGUCACACACGUAUUGUAAAGAGGAACUUUGGUACAAGCCUUUUGCACGCUAUGGGAAUCUGGGGAAGUCACAGCAUUGCAAACAGUGCCUGGCUGCUUCCACGCACAGGCUUGUUAACAGUAACCUAGUGAAACCAUAGACUAGAGGAAAGGACACCGGUUCACCAGACAGACAGAAAUAAACUAGACUGAUUAAGCAGAUAACUAUUAAGUAGCUAUUUUAAAAUGGUCACUGUUUUAUGUAACAAUGGAGCCGGAGAAGAAGGCUGACGUUUUACGCGUCCCCAACCGAUUGUGUUUUUUUGUUCGUUUAUAACUUAUUUUUAAACUUAUUUUGUACAUAAUGUUGCCGCUACAGUCUCUUGUGACCGAAAAGAAUUUCUGGACAUCAGGACUGCGAUUACUCACCAGAAUCCUUUUUUCCCUUUAAGGAGUCUGAGGAGCCCGACGCGAAUGAUUUUCUGCUUUCUCGGGAACAAGCCCAGAUACCCGUGAUUUGUGUGAAGAGGUGGCUGAGACAAAGUGGCCAGAGGGCGGGCUGCCUCCUGAGAAUUCGUAGGCGAUCGAAUAAACCCCCACUUCCUUCCAUUCUGUUAGCAAACAUGCAAUCUUUGUAGAAUAAAAUCGAAGAACAAAGCGGAAGAUUAAACUACCAACGGGACAUUUAAAACUGUAAUAUCUUAUGCUCAACGGAGUCGUGGCUGAACGACGAUACAUUCAACAUACAGCUGGCUGGUUAUAAACUCUACCGGCAGGACAAAACAGCGUCAUCUGGGCCUUUGGGGAGGAGGUCAGAGACCUGGCCGUGUGGUGCCAAGACAAAAGGAGAUGAUUGUGGACUAAAGGAAAAAGAGGACCGAGCAUGCCCCCAUUCUCAUCGACGGGGCUGCAGUGGAGCAGGUUGAGAGCUUCAAGUUCCUUGGCGUCCACAUCCCCAACAAACAUACAUGGUCCAAGCACACCAAGACAGUCGUAAAGAGGGCACGACAAAACCUAUUCCCCUCAAGCGACUAAAAAGAUUUGGCAUGGGUCCUCAGAUCCUCAAAAGAUUCUACAGCGGCACCAUCGAGAGCAUCCUGAUGGGUCGCAUCACUGCCUGGUAUGGCAACUGCUCGGCAUCCGACCGCAAGGUAUUACAGAGGGUAGCGUGAACGACCUAGUACAUCACUGGGGCCAAGCUUCCUGCCACCCCAAACCUCUACACCAGGCGGUGUCAAAGGAAGGCACUAAAAAGACUCCAGCCACCCUAGUCAUAAACUAUUCUCUCUGCUACCGCACGGCAAGCGGUACCGGAGAGCCAAGUCUAGGUCUAAGAGGCUUCUCAACAGCUUCUACCCCCAAGCCAUAAGACUCCUAAACAUCUAACCAAAUGGCAACCCAGAUUAUUUGCAUUGCCCCCCUCCCCGACACACACACCGUUGCUACUCUCUGUUAUCAUCUAUGCAUAGUCACUUUAAUAACCCUACCUACAUGUACAUAUUACCUCAACUAAACGGUGCCCCCGCGCAUUGACUCUGUACCGGUAUAUGUACUCUGUAUAUGGUCUCGCUAUUGUUAUUUUACUGCUGCUCUUUAAUUACUUGUUACUUUAUUUCUUAUCCAUAUUUUUUUAAACUGCAUUGUUGGUUAAGGGCUCGUAAGUAAUCAUUUCACUGUAAGGUCUACCUACACCUGUUGUUUUCGGCGCAUGUGACUAAUAAAAUUUGAUUUGAUUAUG
Oncorhynchus keta (chum salmon) is the source of this 2040-nucleotide long non-coding RNA. RefSeq lists it as uncharacterized. NCBI's taxonomy places the organism in Eukaryota, Metazoa, Chordata, Actinopteri, Salmoniformes, Salmonidae. The record is from RefSeq and is a predicted model, not a curated record. The transcript is spliced from 2 exons.